This 533-nucleotide long non-coding RNA is filed under the name Fukomys damarensis (Damara mole-rat). Its description in RNAcentral is "lncRNA (ENSFDAG00000028201.1)". The record is from RNAcentral. Lineage: Eukaryota; Metazoa; Chordata; Mammalia; Rodentia; Bathyergidae.
CUCAACUUUCUCUAAAGAAAAUUAUGUUUCUUCUCUACCUUUCCAGGGUAGAAUUGAGCUUACUUCCUGUGUAUCUCCGUUGGGAGGCGAGGAGGGCGGAGGCUUUUGAAAACAACACAAAGCUCUCAGAAAGUGAUUUCCGAGGUGUAGAACAGCUGCCCUAAGAGAAAACCAGAUUAUGAUGUGCUGUGUACACAAGUGAGUUCUGAGCCACAUACCUGGGAAGAAGGGAAUAGAUAGCCUGACCAGAAAGAGUGUGCACCGUACAGAUUUGGAUGCCCCAGAUGCGCUUACACCAGCAAACAGCUGCGGGUUAUUCUCCAAAAGCAGACCAACUCUGCUUUACAGGCUCUUCUGUCAAGGCUGUGAACAGAGCCAUGAAAGUCAGCCCGUGCUCCUCUGUGACCCCCCGAGAGAGAGGAAGGUCAUUGGAGGAAGAGACACCUGAAAUGGGGACCCUGCAAGAGUCCAAGAGGGCAAAGACGAGUUAGCCGGGAAGCGGGACAAACUCUCACACGGAGGUAAAUGUCUGA